UACAGAGGGUGCGAGCGUUGUCCGGAAUCACUGGGCGUAAAGGGCGCGUAGGUGGUGGCUUAAGCGUGCGGUGAAAGCUCGGAGCUCAACUCCGAGUCGGCCGUGCGAACUGGGCUCACUGGAGCAUAGUAGAGGCAGGUGGAAUUCCGGGUGUAGCGGUGGAAUGCGUAGAGAUCCGGAAGAACACCGGUGGCGAAGGCGGCCUGCUGGGCUAUGGCUGACACUGAGGCGCGACAGCGUGGGGAGCGAACAGG
This 254-nucleotide ribosomal RNA is filed under the name uncultured bacterium. RNAcentral's name for it is "partial 16S ribosomal RNA". It matches the Rfam family "Bacterial small subunit ribosomal RNA", at positions 524 to 776 of the family's 1533-position model. The record is from RNAcentral.